CAAAUGGUUCUAGUCCUUUUUCUUUCAUCAAAAUGUAUUGAGCAGCUACUAUGUGCCCGUUCUGUUGUAGGUUACUCUCAAGACCCCUUUGCUCUGGAGGCCUGGCCUCUGAGACUUAGGACCUGUCCGUGUAAAGUCAGGAUCCUAAAGUGGAAGUUCGGAUAAUUAAUUCAAGACUCCAUGAAGUGUACGAGUGAAGAUCAUCUCUUUCGGGCCCUGCUGCGGACACUAGUGCAGUGAGCAGACGCCUUCUCAGUUCCGCAGCCACCCUCUGAGCUGUCUGAUUCCUUCACGUGGACCUGGGUUUCCACACAAGCAACAAGGAAGGCAGAGCCACACACUGCCGAUAAAAAGAUCACACAGGACCCUCACCCUCUGAGAUGCCGUCUGCCCGGACACACUGCUUGCUGGAUAUGAGGAGCUGCGGGUCCCCAGAGAUGACACAGGAUCCUCACCCUCUGAGAUACCAUCUGCCCGGACACAAUGCUCGCUGGAUAUGAGGAACUCUGGGUCCCCAGAGAUCACACAGGAUCCUCACCUCUGCGUCCCCAGAGAUCAUGGGGGAUCCUCAUCCUCUGAGACACCAUCUUCCCGGACAUGCUGCUCGGUGGAUGUGAGCCUGCGGGUUCCUGGUUUCUGCCCAGCUGACAUGUGAUGGUUCUCAGCGAGCCUGCUCGGGCACUGUAGACUGGGUGCCUCAUCCUCCAGCGGCUGUUAUGUGGCCAUGGGUGGGUCACAACCACGCAUGUUCCCGGUGUGAUGAGCCCAUGGGUGGGCUGCUCCCUGCCCACACCCGGCUGGCCCAGGCCGUCGUCUUGCCCUGAGGACUGGCCCUGUGGUGUCCUGAGUGGCAGGGCUAAGGGCUCUGCUUCUUCCUAUGCUGAGGUGGCCACCCCGUGACGGGUUCUGUCUGCAGCGCACACCCUCCACGAGGCACCUGCCCCCCAGCCCCUGCCUCAGGCCCUGCUUCCCAGAGCCCAGCCUAAGAUAUUGGUGGCCAGGACAGCAAGGACCUGAGACACAGUGCCAGCCACAGCAGCACUCCUGCCUGACUGGGGUCUGGAUGUUCUGGGAGGCCCCUUGUCUCAGGCUCCCCCAGACCUUUCUCAACAAAUGAAGCUUCAACCUCUGGUGUGCAAGGUGAUGGUUAGGCAGCCUGGUCUCACAGCUGCUGGACUCCCUGGAUCACUGUGGCCUCAGUGUGGACAGUGGAGCCUCACGACCCUCUCUGUUUUUCUUUGCUUUUGUCGGGUGUGGGUGUGAGAUGGCCCAGACUUGGGCCACAGCCACAAGCUUCUGCGACUCACACAACUCAAGAGCACUGCAGCGGGGUCUCACCACAGAAGCCGUCUGGGAAUGCGCUUGACUUGGGGUGUGUGCGUGUUUUUCCAUUUUGAAGAAUAAGGUCGAUUUUAAAAUUUUCUGACACUUUCUCACUUUGCCGAUUUUUGAUGGCAAAAUUUUAGUCUCCAGCCUCUCCCUUCCACUUCAGAAGCUUGUGUGUCGCUUGUCUCAGCUGUUAGUGGAUAUGGGUUCUGAGAAUGGUAAUUAAUUUUAACAAUAGCUUAAGUAAGCCAGACAUUAAUCAUAAUUGGCAAAGGAAAUAUGCUAUAAAGUAUUAUAUAAUCUAAGAUCAAACAGGAGCAAUUUUUGCAUAAUUUGUUAUUUUGUACUGCCCGUGUUAUCAUUAGCACAGUGAUUAAGAAUUAACUGAAAUUAUUCAAAUUACCAGAAAUAAUUCAAUUAUCGAUAAUUGUAUAUCAAUGUAUAAUAACAUAUACAACCAAACACUUAGGUGAUUUGCUCAGGAUAAGUUUCACAACUUUUUUUCCAGCAAAAUGUCUUUGACUCACAGUUGAAUUCUCAGUACUUCCAUCAAUUAAAUGGAAAAGUAAAUUAAUUGUAGUGUGGGAAUCUCUGGGAGUAUUUCUUGCUUUUUCUCUUUUACUAGUGUACUUGUUCUUCAGUAAAUAGAUUGGAUAGUUUGUUACUCCCAGAGAAAGACACUAACCACCAAUAGACAGGAAAAUGUACCUCUGGUUUACCAAACUUAGUCACUGUCACAUUACAGAGUUAAUUCUAUAAUGUUGUGAAAAACACCUGUGUCAUGAAAAUGUUAAUGAUCUCUUGACUGCAUAGAUGAGUUGCGUUCCGGAGUCUUAAGUUGCUUUCUAAAUACUAAUUAAUUAAACCCAAGCUUUCUGUGUCAGGGGAUUACUCACUUUUGUCCUUUCUUUACUCUACCCAAGCUGAAUUUCUGAUAAUAUGGUAAGACAAGAAUGAGACAUAACCCAAAACAUAAGCUGCCAGCCACAGCUCUAUGUGGAAAUUGCAGCUUAGGAAGAUUUUGCCACAAUGAGAUGGUAACCCCUGCUUCCCCCGGCCAUACAGAGGAUUGAAGAUGUAAGUACCUGGGGGACGCCAGCCGCAGUGUUUUACAACCUACUAUUCCAGUAGCUUUGGAAAAGGAAAAAAAAAAAGUCACAGAAUUGGGGCACACAGGGGAGAGUGCAGCAUGAACAAUUUUCCAUUAAUCUGAUAAAGAGGGAGGUAGUCCAGGUGCGGCUCUGAGAUGCAUUUCUGCAGGGGAACCAUUCCCUGAGAGCUUUGUGUUUCCUUCCUGUUAGUGAUCUCAUGAAUAAAUAAACUCUCUGCCUGGCACUGA
This is a long non-coding RNA of Pongo pygmaeus (Bornean orangutan), 2665 nucleotides long. RefSeq lists it as uncharacterized. The record is from RefSeq and is a predicted model, not a curated record. The transcript has 3 exons. Lineage: Eukaryota; Metazoa; Chordata; Mammalia; Primates; Hominidae.